Molecule: ribosomal RNA, 404 nt
Filed under: uncultured bacterium
Lineage: Bacteria
Description: partial 16S ribosomal RNA
Rfam family: Bacterial small subunit ribosomal RNA
Source: RNAcentral
GAUGAACGCUGACAGGAUGCUUAACACAUGCAAGUCACAUGUGGCGGACGGGUGAGUAACGCGUACAGAACUUGCCUCACAGCGAGGGAAAACAGUUGGAAACGAAUGCUAAUACCUGAUACUGUGAGAGAGCUUUGCGUGCCAUUAGCUAGUUGGAGAGGUAACGGCUCACCAAGGCGAUGAUGGGUAGCCGACCUGAGAUGGUGAUCGGCCAAAGGGGGACUGAGACAUCGCCCUUACUCCCACGUGAGGCUGCAGUGGAGAGUAUUGGACAAUGGACCAAAGUCUGAACCAGCAAUUCUGUGUGCACGAUGAAGUUUUCUGAAUGUAAAGUGCUUUCAGUUCGGAAGCGGUACCAACAGAAGAAGUGACGGCUAAAUACGUGCCAGCAGCCGCGGUAAUUC